AAACCUAGAUUUCUCUUCAGUUGUCAAAUAAAUCUUUCGCAUUUUACUAAAGAUAUCCGUGGAGAGGAGUAAUUUUAGGUCUAUAAGACGAACAUUGCUAAAUCGACUCAGGCCGUUC
This is a small nuclear RNA of Bactrocera dorsalis (oriental fruit fly), 118 nucleotides long. RefSeq annotates it as U5 spliceosomal RNA. The record is from RefSeq and is a predicted model, not a curated record. The transcript has a single exon. NCBI's taxonomy places the organism in Eukaryota, Metazoa, Arthropoda, Insecta, Diptera, Tephritidae.